GAUCUAGCUUGCUAGAUGCUGACGAGUGGCGCACGGGUGCGUAACGCGUAUACAAUCUACCUUUAACUGAGGGAUAGCCCAGAGAAAUUUGGAUUAAUACCUCAUAGUAUUAUAAUUAGGCAUCUUUUUAUAGUUAAAACUUCGGUGGUUAAAGAUGAGUAUGCGUACUAUUAGCUAGUUGGUAAGGUAAAAGCUUACCAAGGCAACGAUAGUUAGGGGGCCUGAAAGGGUGAUCCCCCACACUGGUACUGAGACACGGACCAGACUCCUACGGGAGGCAGCAGUGAGGAAUAUUGCACAAUGGAGGAAACUCUGAUGCAGCCAUGCCGCGUGCAGGAAGAAUGCCCUAUGGGUUGUAAACUGCUUUUAUACAAGAAGAAACCUCGGUACGUGUACCGACCUGACGGUAUUGUAUGAAUAAGCACCGGCUAACUCCGUGCCAGCAGCCGCGGUAAUACGGAGGGUGCGAGCGUUAUCCGGAUUUAUUAGGUUUAAAGGGUCCGCAGGCGGAAUAUUAAGUCAGUGGUGAAAGCCUACAGCUCAACUGUAGAACUGCCAUUGAUACUGAUAUUCUUGAGUAUGGAU
This 585-nucleotide ribosomal RNA is filed under the name uncultured Bacteroidota bacterium. RNAcentral describes it as "bacterial SSU rRNA". It matches the Rfam family "Bacterial small subunit ribosomal RNA", at positions 72 to 653 of the family's 1533-position model. The record is from RNAcentral. Lineage: Bacteria; Pseudomonadati; Bacteroidota.